Molecule: long non-coding RNA, 1757 nt
Organism: Carassius auratus (goldfish)
Lineage: Eukaryota; Metazoa; Chordata; Actinopteri; Cypriniformes; Cyprinidae
Source: Ensembl
CACUAUACAACCUCCAAUAACACCGAAUUCCAUUCAUUCUCUGUAUGUUCACUCUCAUGUGCCCUUUCAGGUCCUUUACUGAAGAGAACUUUCCUGAAGAUGAAACUGAAGUCCAGUUGGAGUCUGUCUGAUCCUGCGGUGAGAGUCCAGCUCCUGUCACAGCUCCAGUCUGUUUUGGAGGAACGAGGGUUUUCUGACGUGACGCUGCAAUGGACUCAACCGCCAGAACAGGAAGUGAUGCGGAAGGAAGCUGCCCCAGCUCAAUGUGCUGUUAGAAAGAGACGAUGAUGAUCAUGGUGAUGAUGAUGAAGAUGAUGAUGAUGAUAAUGGGGAAACCUAAACUAACAACUCUCUUCGGAUCAGCUUUGAUUUUUCUUCAUUUAUAAGCUAGAAUAUUCUCCAGUCCUCAAUGUUGAUCACACUAAAGGUGUACAUGAAAACUGAAACAAAAUGAUUUCUGCAAAGCUGUGUUGAGCAACAACAAUAGUUGCUUUGACUUUUUUAAGUUGCUUUCGAUUAUAAAAUAUUUAGUUUCCAGCAGCGGUGUAGAAUUCUACAAUAUUGAAUAUGCAUAGUCAUAGUUUACUGUUGUCAGUGUAGUUUGGUUGGGUCUAGGUGGGGUCCUGUCCUGUCAAGUCUCAGUUAGCUUAAAGCAGUACAUGUACAAGUUUAUAUUUAUUAAUUUUUUUUGGUUGUUGUUGUUCUUUUAAAUGAUUUAAUAAAUAAAAAGAAAACAGAUAGAACAUAAAAAUAAUAGAGCAAGGUUAUUUAUUUAUUUAUUUUUAAGAAAACAGUCAUUUAGUAAAUGAAUAGAGUGCAAGUCUAAAAGAGAUAGUUUACCCUGAGUUACUUCCAGAUCUGAGUUCAUCAAGAGUGCCGGUGAACGGCAGACUGUUUUUGUUCUCUUUAAGCAAUACAUUUUGUUUCUGUACCUGCCUUCACAUUUGGGUUCUCUGUUUCUCCUGACAAUAAGUGCUCUAAGUGACAUUAUUAUUAUUAUUAUUUUUAUUUUAUUUUAUUAUUUAUUUAUUUUUUUGGAAGAAAUGUCAGUAGUUUGCAGAAUGCUCAAACAGAUACAUAUAAAUAAUAAAUCCAGAGAAACUGCUAAUUUUGCAGUGGUCUCUUUUCUUCCAGAACUGUAAAUACUGAAUAUAUAAAUUAAAUAUGUAUUAUGUUGUUAUACCAGUUUCCUGACCUAAUAAGUGAUAUAACCAGUUACAUAGUCAAGUUAGGUCACCUUUAUUUAUAUAGCAUCUAGGAGACAAGGUUUUGACUGUGGAGCUGUCUCUGGGGCUUGUCCUGGUCUCCGCUGUCUUUCAGGGAUGUAGAGGUCCUUUCUAGGUGCUGAUCCACCAUCUGGUCUGGAUACGUACUGGAUCCGGGUGACUGCAGUGACCCUCUGAUCUGGAUACAGACUGGAUCUGGUGGCUACGGUGACCUCGGAAUAAGAGAGAAACAGACUAAUAUUAGCGUAGAUGCCAUUCUUCUAACUACAAUAUGUAGCAAGUACAUCGGGUGUUAUGGGAAGUGUGUUAUAGGAAGUUAUGGGUGUUAUUUUUCUCAUUUUUAAGUCGCUUUGGAUAAAAGCAUCUGCUAAAUAAUUAAAUGUAAUGUAAAUGUAAGUGUUCCCGGUUCCAGUUUUCCUAAUUAAUGCAGCCUAAAAAUAAUUUAAAGGGGUCAAAUAAUGCAAUUUAAAUUUUUCCUUUCUCUUUGGAGUGUUACAAUGUCUUGAGUGUUACAAUGUCAACUUAUAAAAG